UGAUACAUAUCUUUUAUGAACUUUGAGGAGCAAAUCAUAGGUGUUAAUCCUAUGAGUUGUUCCUCUUAACUUUGUAGAGUUUAAGAGAAUAAUCUAAAGUUAGAGAGUCUUUCCUUUAACUUUGGUGUUAAUCCUCUUUAAUUAGCCUCCCAAGCAUGAUCUAAUCUAUAAAUCAUAGCCUUGUGGAGUUUAAAAGAAUGCAAAUAAGAGAAUGAGAGAAAUAUGUGGUGAGAAAGAGAUUGGGAGAGCAGAUGAGUUAGAGAGAUUGAAAGGGGAGAGAAUGAAGGGGUGGAAAGGGUUUAAAAACCUUUUCUAUUGAUUCAAACGAUCAAAUGAACCAUUUGAAUCAAAUCAAUCCUGGCCUUUGAUUGUAUCGAUCGAAAUCCGACCUUUCUGACCGGUACAAACCCUGUAUUGGGCGAUACAGGGUCAUAUAAUAAAGACCACCCGAUACAAGGUGGUUCACAUACCGAUCCCCUAUCGGAUAGGUACGUACCGCCCGUACCAAGCGGUAUACUGUGGCAUGGUAGACCUUGGCUUAGCGUACCUAGCCAAGAAGAAUGGGCCAAUUCGAAGUAGGUAAGAAUAAGGAGACAUAGGUAGUACCAUAGACCGGUACAAACCUUGUAUCGGGCGAUACAUGGUCAUAUAAUACAGACCACCUGAUACAAGAUGGUUCACAUACUGGUCCCCUAUCGGAUAGGUAUAUACCGCCCGUACCAAGCGGUAUACUGUGGCACAGUAGACCUUGGCUUAGAGUACCUAGCCAAGAAGAAUGGGCCAAUUCGAAGUAGGUAAGAGUAAGGAGACAUAGGUAGUACCAUAGUAGUUGUACAGAAUGCUACAUAAGCCCUCAAUUGAUGGUGUCUAUGGUUCUUCAUAGAGGCAAAUGGAGGAGGGAUAUGUGGUUUCUUAGUAGGAAUCAGAGACAUGGAAUAUAUUGUUUGACUAGCGCCACUAGUCAUAGUUUGGUACUUUGAUUUUAUAUGUUUUACAUUAUAAUUGCUUGAAGGAGUUCUGGACUUAUUUUGAUGAAGUUUAAAAUUACAACAGCCGAAGAUUGCUCGAUUAUAAAAAAAUGAAUGAAAGAAAAAAAGUGG
Molecule: long non-coding RNA, 1100 nt
Filed under: Musa acuminata (dwarf banana)
Lineage: Eukaryota; Viridiplantae; Streptophyta; Magnoliopsida; Zingiberales; Musaceae
Description: long non-coding RNA (MACU_LNC001408)
Source: RNAcentral